GGCGGUGUGGCGAAAUGGUAUCGUGUGGUCCUCCUAAACAGAAGGAUUCCAGACUGAGGUUGUGGGUUCGAGUCCCAUCAUCGUCG
Molecule: transfer RNA, 86 nt
Filed under: Cercophora newfieldiana
Lineage: Eukaryota; Fungi; Ascomycota; Sordariomycetes; Sordariales; Lasiosphaeriaceae
Rfam family: tRNA
About the family: Transfer RNA (tRNA) molecules are approximately 80 nucleotides in length. Their secondary structure includes four short double-helical elements and three loops (D, anti-codon, and T loops).
Source: Rfam by way of RNAcentral